Schizosaccharomyces pombe (fission yeast) is the source of this 222-nucleotide non-coding RNA. The record is from the annotation of a GenBank genome assembly. Lineage: Eukaryota; Fungi; Ascomycota; Schizosaccharomycetes; Schizosaccharomycetales; Schizosaccharomycetaceae.
CCGCCGCUUCCUUUUGCCUUGACACACACCACGCAACGUGUUACGGUUCUUGAACGGAAUUGCGUACUUCGAUGCAGAGCGCUAUCGGGGGGAUUGGGGAUGGUAAAUGGAAGAAAUCAAAAACUUCUUUUGACGUCAACCCCUAAAACAGGGGACGGUGAUUGGUGGUAACCACGGACCGGAUAGGUAUCGAUAUGCACAUCAGGUGAGAAGUUUUUCCGA